Molecule: ribosomal RNA, 508 nt
Filed under: uncultured bacterium
Lineage: Bacteria
Description: partial 16S ribosomal RNA
Rfam family: Bacterial small subunit ribosomal RNA
Source: RNAcentral
AUUGAACGCUGGCGGCAUGCCUUACACAUGCAAGUCGAACGGCAGCGGGGGAGAAGCUUGCUUUUCCUGCCGGCGAGUGGCGAACGGGUGAGUAAUACAUCGGAACGUGCCCUGUAGUGGGGGAUAACUAGUCGAAAGAUUAGCUAAUACCGCAUACGACCUGAGGGUGAAAGUGGGGGACCGUAAGGCCUCAUGCUAUAGGAGCGGCCGAUGUCUGAUUAGCUAGUUGGUGGGGUAAAGGCCUACUAAGGCGACGAUCAGUAGCUGGUCUGAGAGGACGAUCAGCCACACUGGGACUGAGACACGGCCCAGACUCCUACGGGAGGCAGCAGUGGGGAAUUUUGGACAAUGGGCGAAAGCCUGAUCCAGCAAUGCCGCGUGUGUGAAGAAGGCCUUCGGGUUGUAAAGCACUUUUGUCCGGAAAGAAAUGGCUCUGGUUAAUACCUGGGGUCGAUGACGGUACCGGAAGAAUAAGGACCGGCUAACUACGUGCCAGCCGCCGCAGUAA